AACCUUAUGGACCUGCGGGCGUAUACCUGCGGAGGGAUCAUUACAAGUGACCCCGGUCUAACCACCGGGAUGUUCAUAACCCUUUGUUGUCCGACUCUGUUGCCUCCGGGGCGACCCUGCCUUCGGGCGGGGGCUCCGGGUGGACACUUCAAACUCUUGCGUAACUUUGCAGUCUGAGUAAACUUAAUUAAUAAAUUAAAACUUUCAACAAUGGAUCUCAA
Molecule: unclassified non-coding RNA, 221 nt
Filed under: soil metagenome
Description: partial contains 5.8S ribosomal RNA, internal transcribed spacer 2, and large subunit ribosomal RNA
Source: RNAcentral